The sequence is a regulatory RNA element, 100 nucleotides long. It matches the Rfam family "Guanidine-I riboswitch aptamer". Rfam says of the family: This family represents a conserved RNA structure found upstream of the ykkC and yxkD genes in Bacillus subtilis and related genes in other bacteria. The function of this family is unclear although it has been suggested that it may function to switch on efflux pumps and detoxification systems in response to harmful environmental molecules. The record is from Rfam.
GCAAUGGCUGGCUAGGGUUCCGGUUCGCGCAAGCGAACGACUGGUCCGAGAGCUGGCGACCUCCAGCGAGGUUACACGGCGGGACAAAAGCCCGGGAGAA